Molecule: ribosomal RNA, 253 nt
Filed under: uncultured bacterium
Lineage: Bacteria
Description: partial 16S ribosomal RNA
Rfam family: Bacterial small subunit ribosomal RNA
Source: RNAcentral
GACGGAGGCCCCAAGCGUUGUUCGGAAUUACUGGGCUUAAAGCGCGUGUAGGCGGAACGGUAAGUGCUUUGUGAAAUCCCCGGCUUCAAUCCGGGAACUGCUUGGCGUACUGCCGUUCUUGAGGCAGGUAGGGGUCACUGGAUCCUUAGGUGGAGCGGUGAAAUGCGUAGAUAUCUAAGGGAACGCCUGUGGCGCAAGCGGGUGACUGGGCCUGUCCUGACGCUGAGACGCGAACGCGUAGGGAGCAAACGGG